This is a non-coding RNA of Paramuricea clavata, 199 nucleotides long. NCBI's taxonomy places the organism in Eukaryota, Metazoa, Cnidaria, Anthozoa, Malacalcyonacea, Plexauridae. The record is from the annotation of a GenBank genome assembly.
GGUUUGGUUAGGUAAAGUGUGGAAAAUAUAGCUCUGCGAAAUUUGCAAAUUUUGUGUUAGUUUGUAUUACACAUGGGAAAAUGCAUCACAAUGGGGCCGAAAGUGGUGCAUUUUCCCUUGUGUAAUACAAAUGAAUACAAAAUUAGCAAAUUUCGUAGGGCUAUAUUUUCCUCAUUUUACAACAUUUCACGGCCAAACU